GGUUGAUUGAGAGCACUGCCAGGUGGGGACUGACCAGGUGCACUGAAGGCGAAUAAGAUGUCAGAAAGGUAAAAGGUAAUUUGUUUUCUCCUCUGGGGUAACCUCGAUAUGUUCUUUUUCUCCAAACAGUUAAGUUUAGAGGAAAUAUGCCUACACCAAGUUUUAAAUUAUUAACAAGCUUAACAUUCAUGUGCCAUUGAAUGUGGAUGCAUUUAAAGGAAUGGGUCAUUACGUGAAGAGAGCUGUAAACAUGCAAUGAAGUGACCUUACCAGAAAGAAAGUCUCUAUUCAGACUCAGGAUGGAAAAGGCUGAAACCCAGCGGGGUGCUUGAAUAGGCUGUUAAAAAGACAAGAAUGUCCACAUCUAGGCAGAUGUGCUGGUGAUCAUCUCAGCUGGACCACAGCUCAGAGUUCUCUUCAAACUCUAUUUAAUCAGUCAGCCACCCAUGAUUCUUCAGCCUCCACCACUCCUGCUGCAGACAGAGGGGGUAAAGGAGAAGCAUUGGAAAGCACUGAGGGUGAGCUCCAGAUACCAGAGAAGGGAACAGAAAUAAAUAAAAUCUCACUGAUUUUGACCACCUUGGGUUCUAAGGUUUGAAUAAUAAAAAUAAAAUUUUCAAAUGUGUUCCUGUCUAU
Molecule: long non-coding RNA, 636 nt
Filed under: Oryctolagus cuniculus (rabbit)
Lineage: Eukaryota; Metazoa; Chordata; Mammalia; Lagomorpha; Leporidae
Description: lncRNA (ENSOCUG00000033943.1)
Source: RNAcentral